Molecule: long non-coding RNA, 472 nt
Organism: Magnolia sinica
Lineage: Eukaryota; Viridiplantae; Streptophyta; Magnoliopsida; Magnoliales; Magnoliaceae
Exons: 4
Source: RefSeq, a predicted model, not a curated record
GAGUACUGCGGUGACUAAUACUAGCGGUACAAGCAGUGCAUGAGCCACAAGGAGGGCAUAUUAUCCGCACCGCCGCACGUGACCCAUGACGACUGGCGGAUACUCUGCGAGAGAUUUUCGUCUGAGUCUUUUCAGAAGAGGAGCAUUUUAAAUUCUGACAAUAGGGGAAAGUUAGAAGUGAACUAUGUAACUGGUUGAAAGUCAUUUGUACAACUUCGUCACGACAUGCGAGAUUCCGUCACUAGCCAGGAGCCCGGACCAGUAGACUUCUACAGAGGGACUCACUAUCGACAGGCGACAGGAUCUUGGGUACAUCCUAGUGCCAGCGAGAAUUGGGCGGCGAUGGACACCUUAGGCAGUCAGCCCACUCCCGAUGGUACUCAACAGAGUGAGUCAGAGAUCCUGAACGAGGUGCUUGGCACCCAUUCUGGAUGUGUGUAGGCUUGGCCAUGGUGCCAAGCUCAUGGCACCC